CUUGCUGAAAUACACCAAAGAACUCAUGAUAUUCCGGCAGCUUCUUGCUGCUUCUGCGGACUCAAGCCAAUUGGAAGUUUCUUCUGGACCAAACUGACACUGCUGAUUUGAAAACGGUGUUUGCGAGUGGACUGAGCUACUGCUGCUGAUUUCUGUGAACUGAGCUGCUGAUAUCCUGACAAAUGAAGAUGGGACUCACCACCAAAGAACUCUUUCUAAACAGAUCUUGACUCAGCAAAAUGCCACGGGAGUGUGCAUCACAUGACAUGACCAGAAGCUUCCACUUCAAGUGCUAGAGUUCAUCUCUCUCUGCUUCCUGAUUUUGGAUGUCAUGUGAUCUGCUGCCUCGUGCUCCAGCCACUGCCCCUUCGCUGCCAUGAUAGACUGCACCUGAUUCUGGGCCAAAAUAAGCCCUUCUUUUCUUAAGCUGCUUUUACAAUGACUAGAACCACUUCAAAGAACCAAAUCUAGAAACUUCCCUACAGACAUACCAAGAUGUUUGUCUCCUAGGCCAUUUCUAGAUUCUACCACAUAGAUAAUUUAUAGUAACCAUCACAGGAAGUUAUUAGGGUGUGGCUAUAUUAAAAUCCAAGAGGGAAUAUGACAUAAAUUAGGAAGAGAAUAUGGUUUGGAACUUGUCAAUUUUGGAUUUAUUAUUGUGAUUUGACUCAAUUAAUUUUAUUACCUUAAUAACAUUUUAAUAUAUACUUUCCCUAUAUCAGAAACUGAAACUGUUUUGGACUCUCAAAACUCCCAAAGAUGUUUUUUUUUUUUUUUUUUUUUUUUUUUUUUGCAAGAGGUUUACAGAUGUGAAGAAAGCACUUUAGUUUUAUAGUCUUUUGGUUUUUUUUUGUUGUUGUUGUUUUUGUUUUUUUUUUUGUUACAUACUAACGUUAACUCACUGUUCUAGUUUUAUUUCUGUCGUUGUGAUAAACACCCCGAGAAAAAGCAGCUUUGGGGAGGAGAGGUUUAUUUUCACUUGUUGCUCCAGAUUACAGUCAAUCACUGAAGGAAGUCAAGGUCAUCAGCAUCUCACCUCUGUUCAGAGGCAUCCUCGGUAAAAAGCCAUCUCUGUGGUUGGAGUGAGAGAGUCUCCUAAGCAGAGCUGUCCAGUUUGUUAUUUGGACGAAGACCCGACCAGCUCUCUUCCAGAGUCCCAAUCCCAGUGAGGUUCUACAGCCCAGUCUACUUUAAGUCUCUCAGGCUGAGCCGGCACACACAAGACUCUAUAUGCAGAGAUUCACAGAGCCUACAGAGUGCAAACACAUAUACCCAGAACGUUAAGACAGGAUGACAUUUAAGAUAUUUCUAAACCCAACUCACAAUGAAGCUAUUAUUUUGAGGCCUACCAAGGAAUGCCUCAGGACAUACAACUAUGAAGCACUUUAUAGAACCCAGUUUAUGAAAUUUGGUUUACAGAAAGAAACUGGUUGCAUCACCAUGACCUAUUGGACCUCCUAUGACCCAGUACCCACCUUCCUCAGAAGCCUCGGAUGACCUCUCCUCGUCGUCGUGAACUUCACGUCUCAUAGCAGAAAACCACAUCCUGUUCCUGUGUACGGUGUGCCCCUCCCCAUGACUCUGGCAGAGCAGUUUCCUCUGUGACAUCUCUCUGUUUGGCUACCUAUGCCUGUUACUCAACUCUGGGCUUAAGAAAUUCCACCCUGAGCUAAGCCUGUGUCUUCUGAGGUCUGGCUACCAAAGCAUAAACGUGAACAUAACUUGUGUCUGUCUCUUUUUAGUCUACUUUACCUGUGGAAAAAAAAGUCCAAGUGACCAUGUUGAUGGUAGUGGUGGUGAUUUCUUAGCUUCUGUAGAAGAAGCAGGUAGGGCUGAGGAGCUGAGGAACCUGUUGGAUGUUUCUGCAGUAGGGGAUGGGCUGGGGUGUGAGUUCAGACAGCUUACCCCUAAGACAGCACUUGUACAUCUGACAGCAGCAUGAGCACUGGCAGUGGGCCCUUGGCAAGUGUUCACUGUUGUAUGUUCAGUGUGUGCUCCCUGCAUGUCCCCCUGCUAAUGUUAUGGAAGUUGAGCAUGAUGUAGCAAAGAGAAUCACGUUGUCUAUGUUUUACUUCUGGCAAAGCCGGUAAUAGAAAAAUGGUAGAGCUGAGGGAUAACCAGCUAAUUUACCAAAUUACCCUCAGCAUACUUGUUCUCUUAGACAUGUGUGCUGGUGCUGACAACCCUUGGUGGUUAGCCUUAGUGGUUAGCUUUGGUGGUUAGCCUUGGUGGUUAGCCUUGGCAGUUAGCCUUGGCGGUUAGCCUUGGCAGAAGGAAAACAACCUGGUGUUUGAUGGUGGCUCUCUGUCUUGUCACCUGUCCUUCCAUUCGAAGCCCAGUGGGAGUCUCUUGUUGGAAGUUAGUGUGAAAUGUUUUCUAUCUCAAAGAUACUUUCAUGUACAAAAAGGGAUAUGAGUUUGCAAGUGGUGUUAGCAGUUCGAUAAAAAGCAAGAUUCAAGCACACUACCGUUUCCGCUUGCGCAGAAGUUGUUUUUCAGAGCUACAGAUAAAUCUGUGAUAGUUUCUGUACUUUGAAAUAUUGCUAGGUGACUUGGGAAUAAUUGAAGUGUCUUUGAGUGGGUCUCCUCUGAAUUGGUAUUUUUAAUUUAAAAAGUUCAAAUACAUUAUUUUUGUUAUGGUCUGUGAAGAUCAAAAGUCAUCAUGGACUGAUGAAUUAUACUUUUGAAUUAUAAAUGAGAAACAAGGGGUCAUGGUCUCCAUAAGCCUUUUCUUUGCUUCUUAAUUAAAAUUCCCAGAUGAAAGAAAACAUUGAAAGCAGAAUAUUGGCUUAUAAAUAAUAAUAAUAAAAUGAUGGUAACUUC
Apodemus sylvaticus (European woodmouse) is the source of this 2822-nucleotide long non-coding RNA. RefSeq lists it as uncharacterized. The record is from RefSeq and is a predicted model, not a curated record. The transcript is spliced from 3 exons. Lineage: Eukaryota; Metazoa; Chordata; Mammalia; Rodentia; Muridae.